RNAcentral lists this ribosomal RNA (189 nucleotides) under uncultured Bacteroides sp. RNAcentral describes it as "partial 16S ribosomal RNA". It matches the Rfam family "Bacterial small subunit ribosomal RNA", at positions 338 to 524 of the family's 1533-position model. Lineage: Bacteria; Pseudomonadati; Bacteroidota; Bacteroidia; Bacteroidales; Bacteroidaceae. The record is from RNAcentral.
CCUACGGGAGGCAGCAGUGAGGAAUAUUGGUCAAUGGACGCGAGUCUGAACCAGCCAAGUAGCGUGAAGGAUGACUGCCCUAUGGGUUGUAAACUUCUUUUAUAUGGGAAUAAAGUUGUCCACGUGUGGAUUUUUGUAUGUACCAUAUGAAUAAGGAUCGGCUAACUCCGUGCCAGCAGCCGCGGUAAU